ACGUGGGAGGGAGGCUCGGAGCUCAGGAAGCAUGGCACUCUGGCGGGCAUACCAGCGGGCCCUGGCUGCUCACCCGUGGAAAGUACAGGUCCUGACAGCUGGUGAGUGUCCCUCUAGGACUUGAGUGGGACCAGGGCAGACUGAUUUGGAAGCCAGAGGCUUGCCCCACUGCACCACCCUCACUUCCUGUUUCUAUUCAGCUCUCUUGAAGGGUUGGCUGUCUUUCAUCCUACACUGUCCCCAGUCUGUUUUGGAGGGUGGUCCCCAAGGCUGUUUUUAAGGGGUAUGCGUAGUUGGCCAAGCUGUGCAGUAGGGUUUUAGGAUUUCAAAGUCCUCAAAAAGCUGAACAGUCAGCCCUGAAGGAUAAAGGCAUUGCCCCAGGAGGCCUCAACUUGGAAAACAUUUUACCGUAUGCAAAGCACUUUCAUAUACGUUAUGGCAUAGGGCCCCCACAAAGGUGUGUGAGCUAGGAGGGUUACUUGAGUCCACAUUAGAUCACACCUAAUAAGUGCUGAAUCAAGACUCUUACCCCAGUUUUUCUUGGUAUUUUUUAUUGUGAAACAUACAAAAGAAUGAUUAAGAUGUGUAUG
RNAcentral lists this small RNA (590 nucleotides) under Pan troglodytes (chimpanzee). RNAcentral's name for it is "retained intron". Lineage: Eukaryota; Metazoa; Chordata; Mammalia; Primates; Hominidae. The record is from RNAcentral.